UGUUUUAUAUUUUUUUUUUCUAAUUUGUGAAUUAUUUAUAUUUCUAAUAUAUUAUCAUCAAGGCCUAAUGAGGAAAAAAAUCUGUGCUUUUGUGUGCUUUUUUAAUUUUGGCCAAUUCUUCUAAAUUUAUCAGUUUGUAUUUGAAACUUUAAUAUUGGUUUCAACUUUUAGCAAUUAGCUCAAUUGGGUAGCCAAUUUACUGACUAAUCCAAAUAUUUGUUUGCAUUAUCAAUUAUAGUCGGUCUUUUUAAUCCAAAUAUUGUAUAUUCAUAUCAAAUUUAGCAGGUAUACUCAUGUUGUGAAAAUAAUUAUUUUAUUGAUGAAUCAAAUAAAAUAUUAUUAUUAUUUAGUUUAUACUUUGUCUUCCCUCCAUAACACCUCUUUCUUCUUCCCCACCCACGUUGGCUGCUCUCUCCUGAGCAUUUUUCUUCUACAAAUGCAUGUCUUUUUUAAGGCCACGGUUAGAUUGCUUGCAGCCAUCAUAUUAUUUGGCAAUUCCUUUACUUGAAUCAAUGGAUUCUUUCAUUUAUUAAACCUAAAAUCUGAAAAAGGGUGGAAGGAAAGAGGGAGAGGGAUUUUGGAACUCUGGGGAGGAAAAAAGAAAAUUUUAAAUUAAAAUUAGUGUUUGAUUUGAUUCGUAAUAAAAUAAUAUUUUUUAUCGAUUAAAUUUGAUUGCUAAAGGUGAUACAAAUGUGAAAAAUUGAGGUGCAAAUUAUAAGAGUUGACUACAAUUUUUAAUUAGUAAAUAGAUUUGGAUCAUUUUUUGGUGAAUCAAAUUGUUUCCAUUUGAGUUGACUGCAAAAAUAACGUGGAGGGAAGUAGGAUCAAAAGAUUUAUAAUUUUUGGA
This 847-nucleotide unclassified non-coding RNA is filed under the name Hevea brasiliensis (rubber tree). Lineage: Eukaryota; Viridiplantae; Streptophyta; Magnoliopsida; Malpighiales; Euphorbiaceae. The record is from RNAcentral.